Molecule: ribosomal RNA, 302 nt
Filed under: uncultured bacterium
Lineage: Bacteria
Description: partial 16S ribosomal RNA
Rfam family: Bacterial small subunit ribosomal RNA
Source: RNAcentral
GCAGCCGCCGCGGUAAUACGGAGGGUGCAAGCGUUAAUCGGAAUUACUGGGCGUAAAGCGCACGCAGGCGGUCUGACAAGUCAGAUGUGAAAUCCCCGGGCUUAACCUGGGAACUGCAUUUGAAACUGUCAGGCUGGAGUCUUGUAGAGGGGGGUAGAAUUCCAGGUGUAGCGGUGAAAUGCGUAGAGAUCUGGAGGAAUACCGGUGGCGAAGGCGGCCCCCUGGACAAAGACUGACGCUCAGGUGCGAAAGCGUGGGGAGCAAACAGGAUUAGAUACCCCGGUAGUCCCUGUCUCUUAUAC